RNAcentral lists this ribosomal RNA (497 nucleotides) under uncultured bacterium. Its description in RNAcentral is "partial 16S ribosomal RNA". It matches the Rfam family "Bacterial small subunit ribosomal RNA", at positions 28 to 507 of the family's 1533-position model. The record is from RNAcentral.
GAUGAACGCUGGCGGCGUGCCUAAUACAUGCAAGUCGAGCGAACAGACGAGGAGCUUGCUCCUCUGACGUUAGCGGCGGACGGGUGAGUAACACGUGGAUAACCUACCUAUAAGACUGGGAUAACUUCGGGAAACCGGAGCUAAUACCGGAUAAUAUAUUGAACCGCAUGGUUCAAUAGUGAAAGACGGUUUUGCUGUCACUUAUAGAUGGAUCCGCGCCGCAUUAGCUAGUUGGUAAGGUAACGACUUACCAAGGCAACGAUGCGUAGCCGACCUGAGAGGGUGAUCGGCCACACUGGAACUGAGACACGGUCCAGACUCCUACGGGAGGCAGCAGUAGGGAAUCUUCCGCAAUGGGCGAAAGCCUGACGGAGCAACGCCGCGUGAGUGAUGAAGGUCUUCGGAUCGUAAAACUCUGUUAUUAGGGAAGAACAAAUGUGUAAGUAACUAUGCACGUCUUGACGGUACCUAAUCAGAAAGCCGCGGCUAACUACGUG